UAUAUCAUGUUUGGCAUAGGAAAAUCUCUUAGUUUGGAACAUCUUAGCCACCUAUCGUACAUGUGACCCAAGUUGAAACUUGGUUGUGUACAUGAUUCCCAUCCACUACUAAUGGAUGGUUGGAUAUCUAGGAACAGAGUCUCAUUUAGAAACAAGAAUGCAUGAAUCUUGCUGUAGAGUUAUUUUAAUUGCUCCAAUUUUAUCUUUGUUAAUUAUAGUUUCUACUGCAGGUUGUGAAAUGUGAGUUACCGGUUGUCCCUGCAAGGGAAUUACCAUCUGAGGAAUGUCCAACCUAGCUCUCUAGUUCCCAAUCAGCUAUAUUUUAAUCCUGCUACUGUGAAAAUGUUGAGCAGCCUGAAGUAUGAAAGUAAUGCGUAGUUCGUGAGGUGGUCAACCAUGUGCAGUAAGUUUUCGGAUCAAAGCGAAGCUGAGAAUAGAGUGAUAGUUGAUGGAAAAUUGAUAACUAGUAGAGGCACAUCCAUGGAGUUGUCGCUUGUGAUUGUUGAGAAGCUAUUUGGCUGCGAGAAGGCGUUGGAUCUUGCUGUCAAUGAGAACUUUAAAUAGACAUAUAACUAUUAUGUUGGUAUUGUACUUUUGUCAAGGGAUUAAAAUGAAUGAUUGUAUUUGAUUGAAUGAAUGAAUGAUUGUAUUUGA
Molecule: long non-coding RNA, 654 nt
Organism: Magnolia sinica
Lineage: Eukaryota; Viridiplantae; Streptophyta; Magnoliopsida; Magnoliales; Magnoliaceae
Exons: 3
Source: RefSeq, a predicted model, not a curated record